This 509-nucleotide ribosomal RNA is filed under the name uncultured bacterium. RNAcentral's name for it is "partial 16S ribosomal RNA". The record is from RNAcentral.
GGAGUUAGCCGGUGCUUCUUCUGUGAGUGAUGUCCUUCCUGCCGGCUAUUAACCCGCAGGCCUUCUUCCUCACUGAAAGUGCUUUACAACCCGAAGGCCUUCUUCACACACGCGGCAUGGCUGGAUCAGGGUUGCCCCCAUUGUCCAAUAUUCCCCACUGCUGCCUCCCGUAGGAGUCUGGGCCGUGUCUCAGUCCCAGUGUGGCUGAUCAUCCUCUCAGACCAGCUACGGAUCGUCGCCUUGGUGAGCCGUUACCUCACCAACCAGCUAAUCCGACAUAGGCUCAUCCGAUAGCGCGAGGCCCGAAGGUCCCCCGCUUUCCCCCGUAGGGCGUAUGCGGUAUUAGCCUGGGUUUCCCCCAGGUUAUCCCCCGACUACCGGGCAGAUUCCUAUGCAUUACUCACCCGUCCGCCGCUCGCCACCAGGGAGCAAGCUCCCCGUGCUGCCGCUCGACUUGCAUGUGUUAGGCGUGCCGCCGAGCGUUCAUCUGAGCAGAAUACAACUACUGA